CAGCCGCCGCGGUAAUACGUAGGUGGCAAGCGUUGUCUGGAUUUAUUGGGCGUAAAGCGAGCGCAGGCGGUUCCUUAAGUCUGAUGUGAAAGCCCCCGGCUCAACCGGGGAGGGUCAUUGGAAACUGGGGAACUUGAGUGCAGAAGAGGAGAGUGGAAUUCCAUGUGUAGCGGUGAAAUGCGUAGAUAUAUGGAGGAACACCAGUGGCGAAGGCGACUCUCUGGUCUGUAACUGACGCUGAGGCUCGAAAGCGUGGGUAGCAAACAGGAUUAGAGACCCGCGUAGUCCCUGUCUCUUAUAC
Molecule: ribosomal RNA, 301 nt
Filed under: uncultured bacterium
Lineage: Bacteria
Description: partial 16S ribosomal RNA
Rfam family: Bacterial small subunit ribosomal RNA
Source: RNAcentral